CUCCUAGUACGAGAGGACCGGAGUGGACGCAUCACUGGUGUUCGGGUUGUCAUGCCAAUGGCACUGCCCGGUAGCUAAAUGCGGAAGAGAUAAGUGCUGAAAGCAUCUAAGCACGAAACUUGCCCCGAGAUGAGUUCUCCCUGAGACUUWRAGUCUCCUGAAGGAACGUUGAAGACGACGACGUUGAUAGGCCGGGUGUGUAAGCGCAGCGAUGCGUUGAGCUAACCGGUACUAAUGAACCGUGAGGCUUAACCUU
This 256-nucleotide ribosomal RNA is filed under the name Salmonella enterica. RNAcentral's name for it is "partial 23S ribosomal RNA". The record is from RNAcentral. Lineage: Bacteria; Pseudomonadati; Pseudomonadota; Gammaproteobacteria; Enterobacterales; Enterobacteriaceae.